UUUCACAGGUGUUUGCAGAAAAAAUGGGCCUGGAGACAGGCUGGAACUGCCACAUCUCCCUCACACCCAACGGUGACAUGCCUGGCUCCGAGAUCCCCCCCUCCAGCCCCAGCCACGCAGGCUCCCUGCAUGAUGACCUGAAUCAGGUGUCCCGAGAUGAUGCAGAAGGGCUCCUCCUCAUGGAGGAGGAGGGCCACUCGGACCUCAUCAGCUUCCAGCCUACGGACAGCGACAUCCCCAGCUUCCUGGAGGACUCCAACCGGGCCAAGCUGCCCCGGGGUAUCCACCAAGUGCGGCCCCACCUGCAGAACAUUGACAACGUGCCCCUGCUAGUGCCCCUUUUCACCGACUGCACCCCAGAGACCAUGUGUGAGAUGAUAAAGAUCAUGCAAGAGUACGGGGAGGUGACCUGCUGCCUGGGCAGCUCUGCCAACCUGCGGAACAGCUGCCUCUUCCUCCAGAGCGACAUCAGCAUUGCCCUGGAUCCCCUGUACCCGUCCCGUUGCUCCUGGGAGACCUUUGGCUACGCCACCAGCACCAGCAUGGCCCAGGCCUCGGAUGGCCCUUCUCCCCUGCAGCUGU
This 582-nucleotide small RNA is filed under the name Pongo abelii (Sumatran orangutan). RNAcentral's name for it is "retained intron". Lineage: Eukaryota; Metazoa; Chordata; Mammalia; Primates; Hominidae. The record is from RNAcentral.